RNAcentral lists this ribosomal RNA (253 nucleotides) under uncultured bacterium. Its description in RNAcentral is "partial 16S ribosomal RNA". It matches the Rfam family "Bacterial small subunit ribosomal RNA", at positions 524 to 776 of the family's 1533-position model. The record is from RNAcentral.
UACGAGCGGCCCAAACGUUAUUCGGAAUUACUGGGCUUAAAGAGUUCGUAGGCGGACUUUUAAGUCAGGGGUGAAAUCCUGGAGCUCAACUCCAGAACUGCCUUUGAUACUGGAAGUCUUGAGUUCGAGAGAGGUGAGUGGAACUGCGAGUGUAGAGGUGAAAUUCGUAGAUAUUCGCAAGAACACCAGUGGCGAAGGCGGCUCACUGGCUCGAUACUGACGCUGAGGCACGAAAGCGUGGGGAGCAAACAGG